Molecule: ribosomal RNA, 468 nt
Filed under: uncultured bacterium
Lineage: Bacteria
Description: partial 16S ribosomal RNA
Rfam family: Bacterial small subunit ribosomal RNA
Source: RNAcentral
GACGAACGCUGGCGGCGUGCUUAACACAUGCAAGUCGAACGGAAAGGCCCUGCUUUUGUGGGGUGCUCGAGUGGCGAACGGGUGAGUAACACGUGAGUAACCUGCCCUUGACUUUGGGAUAACUCCAGGAAACUGGGGCUAAUACCGGAUAGGAGCUCCUGCUGCACGGUGGGGGUUGGAAAGUUUCGGCGGUUGGGGAUGGACUCGCGGCUUAUCAGCUUGUUGGUGGGGUAGUGGCUUACCAAGGCUUUGACGGGUAGCCGGCCUGAGAGGGUGACCGGCCACAUUGGGACUGAGAUACGGCCCAGACUCCUACGGGAGGCAGCAGUGGGGAAUAUUGCACAAUGGGCGGAAGCCUGAUGCAGCAACGCCGCGUGCGGGAUGACGGCCUUCGGGUUGUAAACCGCUUUCGCCUGUGACGAAGCGUGAGUGACGGUAAUGGGUAAAGAAGCACCGGCUAACUACGUG